RNAcentral lists this transfer RNA (61 nucleotides) under Cavia porcellus (domestic guinea pig). It matches the Rfam family "tRNA", at positions 6 to 65 of the family's 71-position model. Rfam says of the family: Transfer RNA (tRNA) molecules are approximately 80 nucleotides in length. Their secondary structure includes four short double-helical elements and three loops (D, anti-codon, and T loops). Further hydrogen bonds mediate the characteristic L-shaped molecular structure. tRNAs have two regions of fundamental functional importance: the anti-codon, which is responsible for specific mRNA codon recognition, and the 3' end, to which the tRNAs corresponding amino acid is attached (by aminoacyl-tRNA synthetases). tRNAs cope with the degeneracy of the genetic code in two manners: having more than one tRNA (with a specific anti-codon) for a particular amino acid; and 'wobble' base-pairing, i.e. permitting non-standard base-pairing at the 3rd anti-codon position. The record is from Rfam by way of RNAcentral. Lineage: Eukaryota; Metazoa; Chordata; Mammalia; Rodentia; Caviidae.
UGUAGCUUAGUAGAAGAGUGUAUGCUUGGCAUGCAUGAGUCCCUGGGUUUGAUUCCUAGCA